UACGUAGGGUUCAAGCGUUAUCCGGAUUUAUUGGGCGUAAAGCACAUGUAGGUGGAUUGACGCGUCUCUUUUUAAAUCUCUGGGCUCAACCCAGAAUCUGGAGGAGAUACGGUCUUUCUUGUGGUCAGCAGGGGCAAAUGGAAUUCCCGGUGUAGGAGUGAAAUCCGUUGAUAUCGGGAGGAACACCAAUGGCGAAGGCAAUUUGCUAGGCUGAUUCAGACACUGAGAUGUGAAAGCGUGGGGAGCGAAUGGG
Molecule: ribosomal RNA, 253 nt
Filed under: uncultured bacterium
Lineage: Bacteria
Description: partial 16S ribosomal RNA
Rfam family: Bacterial small subunit ribosomal RNA
Source: RNAcentral